This is a long non-coding RNA of Fopius arisanus, 1568 nucleotides long. RefSeq lists it as uncharacterized. The transcript is spliced from 3 exons. Lineage: Eukaryota; Metazoa; Arthropoda; Insecta; Hymenoptera; Braconidae. The record is from RefSeq and is a predicted model, not a curated record.
GUUCGACACCCUUUUAGCCAGAGCUCACAUUUUUUAAUACUUUCCUGGUAACUCGCUGAUGGAAUUGACGUAAAAAAAUAUGUUCUUGCGUUCUGUUAUCGUUUAAUGGCUCAGGAAUUUUCGUGGUGGUGUAAUCAUUUUGCGAUUUUUUUUUAAUUUAGGAAAAUGUUUGUACCACCUUGAAAUUUCGUGAGCCAUCAGAUAAAACCAGAACGCAAAAACAUUGCUUCACGUCAAUCCCAUCGUAGGUUCGUCGAAAAAAGGAAAAUAAUGUGAAUUUUGGCCGAGGAGUGUAGAAGAUCAUGAAGAGUCCAGGAAUUCCAACGUCGAUUAGGAUAUUAUGGAUAUUAUAGCAAUAUAAUAACUUAGAGUGUGCGCUGCACCUGCAAGUUGUGAAUCACAAUGAAGAGGAUCGAUGAAGGAACAAUUUUGGUAAUUAUAUCUUAAAAUGCUCUUUUCUACCUUUUUUUUAAAGCUCUUUGUAUGACCGUUCACUUGGAUGAAAAUCUCAAAAAAUGAAAAGUCUUAAUUUUGUUUUUGGUAAUUACGUUAAAAAAUUACAAAGUAUUUCAUUGCAUAUUUCUUAGUAUUUCUUCUUCCAGUCAAUUCAACAAUUUUUUAGAUAAACUUGUCAUGAAUUCUUCCCAAAACCGUAAGAAGUUUAGGUGAUUACUACGUAAUUGAAACAAUCGAUAUUCAAUGAACCUCCAGACUUUUAGUGUGAAUCAACAUUCGUCUUUUUAUAUUUACGUUUCACUUCCAGAUUUGUUUCCAUCGGGUUCAAAAUGAAAAACAGUAAAUAUUCUCCUUUAAGAUAAUUAUUUAUUACAUAAUAAAUUCUGAAAACUAAAAAUACAUUGGAGUAGAAGUACAAUGGGGUAUGCCUCAUUCGCAUUCGAAUCUACUUCGGUUUCAAUAGUUCAUUUAUCGAAGGGGCAAGGGAAAAGUCUUAUUCUUUUCUUCAGUAAAAUAUAACAAAAAUCAAUAUAAAUACCCAAGAAAACUUGAGUGACUAUGUGAAAUGAGCGGUUGUUCCCUUUAAACAUAACAGAUCCGUUCCAAGAAUAAAACAAUAACUAAGAUAUGGUAAAACUUAUGUACCCAUUGCGCAAAUACUCAUAUCAAAAGACAUACGAUUAUAAUAUUUAAGGAUAUAUAAAUUUGGAUAAAUUGCUCAUUAUUCGCUCGUAAACUAUUGCAAAUCCAAUAUCCUUCUACAAAAAAUGUUUUAUGAACACACUAACUCGAAUGAAAUUCGAGUAAAAAUGAUUGAACGUAAAAAUUUGACUACCAAUGCUAUAAUAUUAUGAUAGGUACGACCGGUGUCGUUAAUAAACCGAAUCAUACGCAAGGUAGUCAAUUAGUACGUUUUUAAAAUUUGUUAAAGAAAAACAAAAUCGCGUAAACUAUUCCAAGAAUUUAUAUUCAUACAAAUACGUAUGAUAAAUCUCUGUGGUAUCAGGAAUACCAAUAAAUUGAUAAAAAAAUAUAUAUUACAGAUCUAUCCAAAAUAAAAAUUAUUGACCAAAAUUAGGCGCUGAUCGCCUCUUGAGCAAAUAUAGCUCAGG